This is a long non-coding RNA of Oxyura jamaicensis (ruddy duck), 5247 nucleotides long. RefSeq lists it as uncharacterized. The transcript has 2 exons. The record is from RefSeq and is a predicted model, not a curated record. NCBI's taxonomy places the organism in Eukaryota, Metazoa, Chordata, Aves, Anseriformes, Anatidae.
GCAGCACCCCCGGCGUGGGCUGCUCCCGGUGCAGCCCCGCACAGCCUCGCCAGCCGCAGCGGGUCAGGCUGCUUUCCAGCACAAUUGGCGGUGUUUGCAGGGCCGCUGCUGCACACCCGGCCACCUCGAGGACUCAGACAUCAGAGGGAGACAGAGGCAGAACGUGUGAGUUGACGUAGACCCAUGUGGACCAAAUUAUUUCUUUCCCCUAGGCCACGCAUGCGCCAUAUAGAUGCUUCACAGUACUCUGAUGGAACUCUUUUGGGUUCAUGCUAGUUUUGUGAGGUAGUUUGUUCCUUCUCUCUGCAAAGCUGUGGGCUGAAGGAGAAAACUAGGUUGAUCUGUAUUGGCAGAGACCUCAAUGUAAGCGAUCUUCAGCCAUCUCCUGUUGCUCUCCUAGCCCUAGGAAGGCUGAAGAAACCUUUCCAACUUCCCACCCUGCCGUGAAGCCCUUUCCACUGUUGCAAGUAUGCACGUGGACUUGACAUUCGGAGUACUUUAUGCAUAAGGCCCCAUGUGUAUCAUGGUACAAAGUAAUUGUCCAGUCUUAUGGAUAGUUUAUGCCCCAACGGGGUUUUGUAGAUUAAUAGUAAAAGAACAAAAAAGCACUUUUAAAUUAUUUAUAUUAUAAAAAGACAUUCUUUAUUUUUCUUGGCAUCGAUAUCACUUAGCUAAAAAUCAGUUUAUAAGAAUGCUAUUACAGAUUUUAAACUAUAGCAAUGAUAAAGCAAACACGAAAAAGCGGAGUUCAGAGCUGAGCAGAGGCCAAACCUCCGGGCGCGAGGCAGCGGGAGCACGGGGCCCGCGGGGGCUCCCCUCCCGCCCAGGUCGCGCAGCCACGCGCGCACUCGGGGAGCAAAUGCCGCCAGUGCAAUAUUCUCACAGCCAACACAGGACGUAGAGGGGGGUUUGGUGACUUGUGACUUUGUGAUCUCUACGGGGCCUUGCUCAUGUUACAUUUUCGGACCUCAUACAAGCACUUAAUGACUUUGCCGAGGCUGAGUCAGUCUGUUGCACAUUGAUGUAGAUUAAGUGGCACCCACUGAAUUACCUCUUCUACUUUCCGACGUGGUUCACUUGUACAUAAGUGUAAUGUCAAAUUGUUUACAGGUUAUUUUGUGCGUAAUUGUGGAAACAAAAAUUUUAACUACAAAUUUAAAGGAAUCGAUUUUACUGGAAGGUGUUAAAAAAAAAUGAAUGUGCUUAAUACAGUAUAGACAUCAUUGAUUAUGGUCUCACAUGAAUGCAUGUAUCUCCGUGUUGUCAGUCCCCACCAGUGAGGUUAUUGGCAAUAUUCUGCAGUCUGUGAAUAGCAAAUAUGCAUAAACUACUGUGACUCUGACAAAUAUAACUCAGUAACUGUUUCUACUGUGGUAUGUAAAAAAAAAAAAAAAAAAAAAAAAAUCAACCUGUAGCUUUUAGCCUGCUGUAUUUCCCUGGUACAAAUAACACCGAGACAGAAAGAGACAAGUUGGGAAAAACCAAAGCAGUCACAACUGUGACCUGGGCAGAGUCACUUGCCCAGUGGCUCCUGCCAGGUGGCUUUGGUCCCGCUGCCAAAAAAGCCUGCGUGUAGGGGCUCUGAGGUGGUAAACCACGUGUUGCUGUUGCCCUUCUGCUCCAGCGUCACUGCUGGCAGAAGAGCCGACCUUUCGUUUAGGAUCCCGGUAAAUGGAGGGAGGAAUUAAAUAUUCAUGGCUCUCAUAAGUGGGUCAGGUGUUACACGAUACGCUGCAUGUACAGCCAUCAGCACUGUGGUGCUGGGUGGCUGAAAUCUGCAGCUAAUUCGUGUCUGCCAUCCAGAUCUGUGCAAGGGCACAGACAAGAAUAAAUAAGUUGGUAUCCUUUGCCUGUCAUAUAUAUACACACACGUAGAUAUAUAUGUAGAUACAUACAUGCUUUCUUGCCCACUGUAAUUUAGCAUUGCUUCAUGUUAAACAGUUCCUUACAGAUUGGGGAUAAUUCUCUGAUUAAAUUUUUGAGUUUUAUUUUCCUCAUUUAUGUCUGUGAGACGCUGAAAGCACCACUUCAGUGAUUGCAGGCUGGCAUCCUUCUUCUUCCCCACCUUCAACAGGGAUUUUCUGACGCCGUGAUUGGAAAGUACUGCCACCAGCAGCAAUACAUCUGGAAGAGCCAUCGCUGCAUCAGGGGUUACCUACCGGAGUAUUUCCAGGAAUACUUUGAAAUACUUUGCUGUGCUCUUAAGGAUGCCCCACGAAGGGAAGGAAUGCAAUUCUGCAUUCUCAGAAUGACAGACUUGUGACUUGUGUUCACUGUCAUGUUUCCUUCCUCCCUUCUGAGGGGUAGUUCCAGCAUGGCACCCCUGGUCUCUGCACUCUCAUCGCUCCUCCACGCUAACACGACUCGAAUAGGGAAGCAUAGCUGUAGGCAAGCUGGGGCUGGAAGAGCCAGAAAAGUAGGCAAUUGCUCACUUGUGUGGCUGAAUAUCCUGGGAUGAUUUUUUUUUAUUAUUAUUUUUAAUCUUUGGUACUUGGCUGAUCUCCAGUGGAGCCCUUUCUGAAGGCCCCUUCCUGGGAGCAGACCCUGGAUUUGCGGAGCUCGUCCCAUCUGGUGCCUUGCCGAGCAGGGAUUUGGGUGCUGCAGUGUCUGCACAAGCGUAUGGGAGGCAAAGCCCUUCUGGAAGCUCAUCUCCUCGGAUGCUGAGGUGUGUGUGAGCAGCCACGGCAGCCGGCAGCCGGCUGGGGACAGCAAGCUGGGCAGGACGGCAGAGGACGGAGCCUUCUGCUGGGACGAGCUCACACCCGGAUCGGUGACCCCGAGCCUGGAGCCAAGGGGACAGGGAGAAGGGCGGCGGUGGGGAGCCCGUCCCGCUGGGCCAGCCUGGGGCGGCCGCGAUCUUGGCUUGCUCAGCAGUGAGCUUGUCUUCGGGGCAAUCAGAAGAGGGGAUGCUGCUAUUACCAGAUUUCUAUUAGAAACGACGCACGUUACUUUUCCAGGUAGGCUUUUUUUGUCCUACUCACAUAUAUCCAAACUAUUGCAAGUGUUCAGAGCUGGUAACAGCAACCAGUAACAGCAAAUAGCUGGGCUCCACGUGUCCGUGGAGAUGCUGCACCAGUGUGUGGUAUGGAUGAGAUCUCUGUGUCUCAUGGACUUUGAAGAAAAAUUUUUUAUUUUUAUUUUUUACAGUUUGGAAUAAACAAAAAUGCAUUCUUUUUGUUCCUUUUUUAUGUGAAGCUACUACAAAUCUCAUUUUGGCUGACCUGAAAUGACAGCAAUGUUUCACUUCAAAUGACUACAAAAUUAAUAACAAUUUGUUACAUCCCUCUUUGAACUUUUUUGUUUGUUUGUUUUAGUUAGACCAGUUUUGAACUGUUGGUCUUCUGAGAAUACAAGCUGAAAUCUUUCACUUCUCAAAUGAUGAGUUACUCAUUUUUGCACAUUUCACCAUGCCCCCUUGUGCCCUUGUUCCCAGCCAUUGCAGGCCCACCAUGCAUUCCCAAAUGCCCCCAGCUCCCUGAAGGGGCUGGCUUCUGCCCCCCAGCCCGGCCACCGCCUCGCUCCUCCUGGCUGUGAUCCCCUAGCGAGCACCAGUGCUGCUCCCAGAGCAGAGCAGUGCUCCUGGGGGCUGGCUUCCCCACACCCCCAGCCAGUUCUGCCAGAUGCCCCUCACCAGCAGCCAUGACAACUCUGCUCCUUCCAACAAACGCGUCUCUUCGUAAUGCACUGUGGCUUUUUCAAAACAGCACAUUUUCCUGAAAAUAUUUUAAGCAGCUCUACUUGUUUGCUUGUGCCAAUGUAAGCCAUGCUCUGAGGCUUCGCGUUUCAGGGAUGCACGCAGACAACUUGCCCGCAAUGCCCCCGGUGGAGCAGACUCAUUUACAGGAAAAAGUCCUGUAAAACUGCCCAAGCUUCUGGGAGCCAUAAUCAGAUGCGCUGGACUGUUUCCAUUGCCCAGAAAGUCACAAAGAAAAGAAGAAAGAAAAGAAGAAAAACAGUUCAAGAUCAAAGUUUUUUUUGUAAAAAUUAUUUGCUUUCCUUUGCUGGCUCAAGAGAUCACAAGCAGAGCAGUAGCACUCUACCUGUUCUUUCACUUCUUUCAAUUUCAUUUAAUUAUGCUAAUACUUCAUUAUGUCGAGGCAGUGCUGGGGGUAGCCACGGGGAAGCCGAGCUCUAAGAGCAUGCCUCAGUACGGUGCUGUCGUGGCUGCAGGGCCUCAGGUACCAGGUGCCAGCAGACAGCUCUUCAGCACCAGCACGCUCAGCGCUGCAUAACAAAAGCCAAUUAGCAAGGCUCCAGCUCCCUGGUAAUAAAUCUUAAGAGAAGCUGAACUGUUCUGGAAUAUAUUAUUGUCUUCAUUUCUUUUCAUGUGCAAAGAAAUCAAAAAGCUUGCUCUUUACUGACAGCUGAGGUGAAGCCAAAUUCCAGCAGUCAUGAGGAAAAGGCCCUUUUCAGAGGCGUCUGUCGUGGCUCAGCCCAGGCUUCCCCUGCUUGUCCCUCUUCAUCAUGCAGAAGGAGCGCUGUGCUGUCUCAUCUCCCUUUUCAUCUUUCCCAGCCCUUUCUGUCUGCAAAGGAGGAGAAGGCAGCGACGCAGCCGCCACGGCUGGUGGAGGCCUCCUGCCCGCAGGGCACAGCUCUGCUGCCCCGCGCCCGAGCAGCUCCACAGCAGGGGCUGCGGGCACGGGGGUGGCCAUGGGGGCCCCUCCUCAGCUGCUGGCAGCUCCCGGGGGGCAGCGGUGGUCCCAAGGGUGUUGCUGAGAGCACUGCAACCCGGUGGUGUGGCUGCUGCUCCUCACGGGCCUGACGCAGAGCCGGCAUGGUCAGCCCCACGCACCUUCGCAAGCAAAAACGAGAGAAAAGCAGGACACGGGCCUGAUCCUGCUGCUUAGCAGAGUUUUGACAAGGAAGACAAUACCUGGAGUUAGCAGCUUGGUCCCUCAAAAUCUGGAGAGGAAGAAUCAAAGUGCAAUUUUGAUCACGUCCAUUCCCAACCUGAGAGGAACACUGCACCGUGUGUGCUGAAAAAUAGCUCUGCUGCUGCCGCCUCAUCUCCGCAGAGCAACAUUUGCGUGCCUGACGGGAGAAUGACAAAGCGGCAGCUCAGAUGCUUGUGGAGGUGGGUGUGAAGCUGGGGGAUCAGAUGCUGCGGGCGGCAGGCUGGAGCUGAUGACCUCCGGAGGCAUCUCCCAGCCUGACGUGCUGCGUGGGACGGGAGCGGAGGAAGGCAGAGCCGGCCGGUCACCACCAGGCGGGAGGGAACCGGAGCAGGAACACGGGGAAGGGGGCGAC